UCUCCCUCUCCCUUCCGCUCUGAAAUCAAUAAAAAUAUUUUUUUAAAAUAAAAAUAAAUAAAAGCAAAUGGAAACUGGCCCAGGUUGUUCCCCUUCUGGAUGCUGCUCCUGGACAGUGACCUCCUCCUCCUGUUUGACCAACUGCUUUUCCACGUGAGGCCAACGCUGGACAGGGAACCUGGGUUUGGCGAGGCCUGGGAGAUUCGAGCCGUGAAGAGAGGGCCACAGCCCAGCUCCUGGGUGCCCAGUGCCCAGUGCCCAGUGCCUGGUGCCUGGCCUCCGCCCUGCCCCGCCUCCCCUGCAGAGCACCGAGGCCAGACGGUGCCCGAGACGAGGGGCCUGGUGCUGUGGGCCCGGCCCCGGCCUGUCCGGUCACUGACCUGUUGGCCAGCAGGGAUCGCGCCGUAUAAUUUGGAAUUAGCUGCUCGGCCUGCAGCUGAGCCCCGGCGGUCAGGCGCUCGGGGCCUGGACCCGCGGCUGAGAACACCCUCCCUGGCACCCACUGCCUCCCUCGGAGGCCUCUUCACGUAAAGACGGCACAAACUCCACCAGGACCAGCCAGUGCUCAGCACACAGUAGGUCCACUCAGACUCCUUGCAGGUGUUCCGAACUGUGCGGGCCAAACGCCUGGAUUUUCUCGGUUCCCCCGCCCCCUCCCAGUUUCUUCAUCAUCUUCAAGGAGAGGCGACUGAGAGCAGGUUUGGGAGCCGGAGACGGAGGAGAAGUGAGAGGGUCCUCUGAAGCGAGAGGGGAGCCGAGAGCCCCUUGCCCUCUGCGAUGUGCAGGGCACCGGCACCAGGAUGCCCGCGUUCCCCGGGCUGCCCUCACCAGAACCAGCGCUAAUCCAUGCCUGGCCCGGGGCUCGGGGGUUGAGCGUCGACCUGUGAACCAGGAGGUUACGGUUCAAUUCCUGGACCCAGAGUCAGAAUCAUGUCCAAUGUCAGCGGCCACCAAAGCAAUGCAGCUCAGAGCGACACCCGCCUCCGUUCCUGCCUCCUGCGGGGUUUGGAAACGAGGGGCCGAGGCCAGGGCUGCGGGACAGCCCUCCGCGUGGGCGAGGGC
Molecule: long non-coding RNA, 1062 nt
Organism: Myotis brandtii (Brandt's bat)
Lineage: Eukaryota; Metazoa; Chordata; Mammalia; Chiroptera; Vespertilionidae
Exons: 5
Source: RefSeq, a predicted model, not a curated record